Molecule: ribosomal RNA, 2879 nt
Filed under: Cupriavidus alkaliphilus
Lineage: Bacteria; Pseudomonadati; Pseudomonadota; Betaproteobacteria; Burkholderiales; Burkholderiaceae
Description: 23S ribosomal RNA
Rfam family: Bacterial large subunit ribosomal RNA
Source: RNAcentral
GGUCAAGCGAACAAGUGCAUGUGGUGGAUGCCUUGGCGAUCACAGGCGAUGAAGGACGCGGUAGCCUGCGAAAAGCUUCGGGGAGCUGGCAAACAAGCUUUGAUCCGGAGAUGUCCGAAUGGGGAAACCCGGCCCGUAUGGGUCAUCCCACACUGAAUCCAUAGGUGUGGGAAGCGAACGCGGCGAACUGAAACAUCUAAGUAGCUGCAGGAACAGAAAUCAACCGAGAUUCCCAAAGUAGUGGCGAACGAAAUGGGAAGAGCCUUGUACUCUUUAGCAGUGGUGUUAGCAGAACGGGAUGGAAAGCCCGGCCAUAGCAGGUGAUAGCCCUGUAUGCGAAAACACGAUUGUGGAACUAGGUGUACGACAAGUAGGGCGGGACACGUGAAAUCCUGUCUGAAGAUGGGGGGACCAUCCUCCAAGGCUAAAUACUCGUGAUCGACCGAUAGUGAACCAGUACCGUGAGGGAAAGGCGAAAAGAACCCCGGGAGGGGAGUGAAAUAGAUCCUGAAACCGCAUGCAUACAAACAGUCGGAGCCUCUUCGGGGGUGACGGCGUACCUUUUGUAUAAUGGGUCAGCGACUUACAUUCAGUGGCAAGCUUAACCGAUUAGGGAAGGCGUAGCGAAAGCGAGUCCGAACAGGGCGUUGAGUCGCUGGGUGUAGACCCGAAACCAGAUGAUCUAUCCAUGGCCAGGUUGAAGGUGCGGUAACACGUACUGGAGGACCGAACCCACUAACGUUGAAAAGUUAGGGGAUGAGCUGUGGAUAGGGGUGAAAGGCUAAACAAAUCUGGAAAUAGCUGGUUCUCUCCGAAAACUAUUUAGGUAGUGCCUCGUGUCUCACCUUCGGGGGUAGAGCACUGUCAUGGUUGGGGGGUCUAUUGCUGAUUACCCCGCCAUAGCAAACUCCGAAUACCGAAGAGUGCAAUCACGGGAGACAGACAUCGGGUGCUAACGUCCGGUGUCAAGAGGGAAACAACCCAGACCGCCAGCUAAGGUCCCCAAAUAUAGCUAAGUGGGAAACGAAGUGGGAAGGCUAAAACAGUCAGGAGGUUGGCUUAGAAGCAGCCACCCUUUAAAGAAAGCGUAAUAGCUCACUGAUCGAGUCGUCCUGCGCGGAAGAUGUAACGGGGCUAAGCUAUAUACCGAAGCUGCGGACGCACGCAAGUGCGUGGUAGGAGAGCGUUCUGUAAGCCUGUGAAGGUGUCUUGUAAAGGAUGCUGGAGGUAUCAGAAGUGCGAAUGCUGACAUGAGUAGCGAUAAAGGGGGUGAAAGGCCCCCUCGCCGUAAGCCCAAGGUUUCCUACGCAACGUUCAUCGGCGUAGGGUGAGUCGGCCCCUAAGGCGAGGCAGAGAUGCGUAGCUGAUGGGAAGCAGGUUAAUAUUCCUGCACCGUCGUAUGAUGCGAUGGGGGGACGGAUCGCGGAAGGUUGUCCGGGUGUUGGAAGUCCCGGUCCCUGCAUUGGAGAAGGCGCUCAGGCAAAUCCGGGCGCGGGAUUCAAGGAUGUGGGGCGAGCGGCCUAGUGCUGCGAAGCAAUUGGAAGUGGUUCCAAGAAAAGCCUCUAAGCUUCAGUCAUACGAGACCGUACCGCAAACCGACACAGGUGGGCGAGAUGAGUAUUCUAAGGCGCUUGAGAGAACUCGGGAGAAGGAACUCGGCAAAUUGGUACCGUAACUUCGGGAUAAGGUACGCCCUGGUAGCUUGACUGGCCUGCGCCAGAAGGGUGAAGGGGUUGCAAUAAAAUGGUGGCUGCGACUGUUUAAUAAAAACACAGCACUCUGCAAACACGAAAGUGGACGUAUAGGGUGUGACGCCUGCCCGGUGCCGGAAGAUUAAAUGAUGGGGUGCAAGCUCUUGAUUGAAGUCCCGGUAAACGGCGGCCGUAACUAUAACGGUCCUAAGGUAGCGAAAUUCCUUGUCGGGUAAGUUCCGACCUGCACGAAUGGCGUAACGAUGGCCACACUGUCUCCUCCCGAGACUCAGCGAAGUUGAAGUGUUUGUGAUGAUGCAAUCUCCCCGCGGCUAGACGGAAAGACCCCAUGAACCUUUACUGUAGCUUUGCAUUGGACUUUGAACCGAUCUGUGUAGGAUAGGUGGGAGGCUUUGAAGCGUGGACGCUAGUUCACGUGGAGCCGUCCUUGAAAUACCACCCUGGUUUGUUUGAGGUUCUAACCUUGGCCCGUGAAUCCGGGUCGGGGACAGUGCAUGGUAGGCAGUUUGACUGGGGCGGUCUCCUCCCAAAGUGUAACGGAGGAGUUCGAAGGUACGCUUGGUACGGUCGGACAUCGUACCUAAAGUGCAAUGGCAAAAGCGUGCUUAACUGCGAGACCGACAAGUCGAGCAGGUGCGAAAGCAGGACAUAGUGAUCCGGUGGUUCUGAAUGGAAGGGCCAUCGCUCAACGGAUAAAAGGUACUCUGGGGAUAACAGGCUGAUACCGCCCAAGAGUUCAUAUCGACGGCGGUGUUUGGCACCUCGAUGUCGGCUCAUCUCAUCCUGGGGCUGUAGCCGGUCCCAAGGGUAUGGCUGUUCGCCAUUUAAAGAGGUACGUGAGCUGGGUUUAAAACGUCGUGAGACAGUUUGGUCCCUAUCUGCCGUGGGCGUUGGAAUCUUGACGGGGGCUGCUCCUAGUACGAGAGGACCGGAGUGGACGUACCGCUGGUGUACCUGUUGUCUCGCCAGAGGCAUCGCAGGGUAGCUAUGUACGGAAGAGAUAACCGCUGAAAGCAUCUAAGCGGGAAACUCGCCUGAAGAUGAGGAUUCCCUGGAGGCUUGACCUCCUUGAAGGGUCGUUCGAGACCAGGACGUUGAUAGGCUGGGUGUGGAAGCGCAGUAAUGCGUUAAGCUAACCAGUACUAAUUGCCCGUAAGGCUUGAUCCU